GUGAAGAACGCAGCGAAAUGCGAUAAGUAAUGUGAAUUGCAGAAUUCAGUGAAUCAUCGAAUCUUUGAACGCACCUUGCGCCCUUUGGCCAUUCCGAAGGGCAUGCCUGUUUGAGUAUCAUGAACACCUCAACUCUUUAUGGUUUUCCAUGAUGAGCUUGGACUCUGGGGGUUUUGCUGGCUCACAGUCGGCUCCUCUAAAAUGAAUCAGCUUACCAGUGUUUGGUGGGUAUCAUGGGUGUGAUAACUAUCUACGCUUGUGGUUUUUCCACCAGGUAACCUUCAGCAGUGGAGGUUCGCUGGAGCUCAUAGAUGUCUCUCCUCAGUGAGGACAGCCCUUUGAAUGUUUGAUCUCAAAUCAGGUAGGACUACCCGCUGAACUUAAGCAUAUCAAUAAGCGGAGGA
RNAcentral lists this unclassified non-coding RNA (404 nucleotides) under soil metagenome. RNAcentral's name for it is "partial contains 5.8S ribosomal RNA, internal transcribed spacer 2, and large subunit ribosomal RNA". The stretch from base 2 to 120 matches the Rfam family "5.8S ribosomal RNA", at positions 37 to 154 of the family's 154-position model. The record is from RNAcentral.